Molecule: unclassified non-coding RNA, 359 nt
Filed under: Hevea brasiliensis (rubber tree)
Lineage: Eukaryota; Viridiplantae; Streptophyta; Magnoliopsida; Malpighiales; Euphorbiaceae
Source: RNAcentral
UAGCUUUUGAGAUGAUUAAUCACUUCAGCAGACUUGACAAAUGAUAUUGCAAUAAAAUCAACACCCUCUGAGAUACCAAAAUCGAUGUCUAUCCAAUCCUUAGAGGAUAUUGUGGGAAGCAUAGCAUUACGUUCUCGCACUAGACUCCCAUCCCUCCAGAAAGUCAAAUUAGCCCGUGGUAGUAACAGUCCAGGAUCAGUACAUCGACACUUGACAUCUGGACCAAUUUUCUCAAUUACCUCAAAUGUUACCAUCCCACCAUCCACAAUGAGUUCAUCCCCAACUUGCACAUCCUCAGCAAAGCCAUCAUAAUUCACGUUGAUGGUGCGUUCUGGACGAGGUGAGUCAAAGGCUCUGAC